Molecule: ribosomal RNA, 236 nt
Filed under: uncultured bacterium
Lineage: Bacteria
Description: partial 16S ribosomal RNA
Rfam family: Bacterial small subunit ribosomal RNA
Source: RNAcentral
CGGGACGGGUGAGUAACGCGUGGGUAACCUGCCUCAUACAGGGGGGUAACAGUUAGAAAUGACUGCUAAUACCGCAUAAGCACACAGUACCGCAUGGUACAGUGUGAAAAACUCCGGUGGUAUGAGAUGGACCCGCGUCUGAUUAGCUGGUUGGCGGGGUAACGGCCCACCAAGGCGACGAUCAGUAGCCGACCUGAGAGGGUGACCGGCCACAUUGGGACUGAGACACGGCCCAA